Molecule: ribosomal RNA, 770 nt
Filed under: Gouldipoma trochleare
Lineage: Eukaryota; Metazoa; Mollusca; Gastropoda; Littorinimorpha; Annulariidae
Description: partial 28S ribosomal RNA
Rfam family: Eukaryotic large subunit ribosomal RNA (bases 457-770)
Source: RNAcentral
AAACCGCCUAGAGGUAAACGGGUGGAUCCGCAAAAGUCGGCCCGCGGAAUUCAGCUCGGAAGGCCAGCGCCCGUCGCUCGUUUGGGAGAUCCGCUUGUGGACUCCCCGGGCGGUCGCCUUGGACGCGGGUCAGCCGUGUGCACUUUCCGCGGGCAGAGCGCCACGACCGGUUCUUGGGCGGUCAGACGGCGGCUGGGAAGGUAGGUGGGCGUCUUCGCGGGCGCUCACUGUUACAGCCCGGCCUGUCCCGAUCCGCUCGGGGACCGAGGAGCUGCUGCCGGCGCGAGGCCGCUUCGCUCCCCUCCCGGGAGGUUUCGACUGGUGGAGACUGGGUUCCGCCCGUGUCCGCCGACCGCUUUCCGGGAUGGGGCGGGGUGAGGGAGCCCGCCGGCUGAGGGUCAGUGGCGAAUCGGUCGGCCCUCCACCCGACCCGUCUUGAANNNNNNNNNNNNNNNNNNNNNNNNCGCGCGAGUCGUUGGGCAGUACGAAACCCGAAGGCGCAGUGAAAGCGAGGGCCACCUUCGCGGUGGCUGAGGUGGGAUCCGGUCCUCCGCGGCUGGCGCACCACCGGCCCGUCUCGACCGCGCUGUCGGUGAGGCGGAGCAGGAGCGUGCACGUUGGGACCCGAAAGAUGGUGAACUAUGCCUGAGUAGGACGAAGCCAGAGGAAACUCUGGUGGAGGUCCGCAGCGAUUCUGACGUGCAAAUCGAUCGUCAAACUUGGGUAUAGGGGCGAAAGACUAAUCGAACCAUCUAGUAGCUGGUUCCCUC